This 992-nucleotide small RNA is filed under the name Pan troglodytes (chimpanzee). RNAcentral describes it as "retained intron". Lineage: Eukaryota; Metazoa; Chordata; Mammalia; Primates; Hominidae. The record is from RNAcentral.
UUUUAGGAGCUGUAUAGCCAGACGUAUGAUGAGAUUGGAGUCAUGUUUGCCUCCCUGCCCAACUUUGCUGACUUCUACACAGAGGAGAGCAUCAACAAUGGUGGUAUUGAGUGUCUGCGUUUCCUCAAUGAAAUCAUCUCGGAUUUUGACUCUCUCCUGGACAAUCCCAAGUUCCGGGUGAUCACCAAGAUCAAAACCAUUGGCAGCACGUAUAUGGCGGCUUCAGGAGUCACCCCCGAUGUCAACACCAAUGGCUUUGCCAGCUCCAACAAGGAAGACAAGUCCGAGAGAGAGCGCUGGCAGCACCUGGCUGACCUGGCCGACUUCGCGCUGGCCAUGAAGGAUACGCUCACCAACAUCAACAACCAGUCCUUCAAUAACUUCAUGCUGCGCAUAGGCAUGAACAAAGGCGGGGUUCUGGCUGGGGUCAUUGGAGCCCGGAAACCACACUACGACAUCUGGGGCAAUACAGUCAAUGUAGCCAGCAGGAUGGAGUCCACGGGGGUCAUGGGCAACAUUCAGGUAUGUCCAGUGGCACAGCUGGCACGUGCUCAGACUCGGCAUGAGAACAAAACCGGAACAGUGCUUUCCCACGUGCCCCUGCCUCCCACCCUGGCCCCGAACAGUAAGUCCAGAGGCAGAGACGUGGGGCGAGUGGAAAGGAAUCUCUGCAAUAGCUAGCCUCAGCACAGGAAGAAACACUUCCACCCAUCCACAAAAUCUGGGCUGAAGUUCUGGAUGCAUAUGGCCUACCUCUGGGUAUGAACCUUCUAAUACCUUGUGAUCUGUCUCAGUGGGGUCUGGCAGAAAAGCUCCACGAAAGGGGCAAAGGGACAGAAGAGCAGGCACUGGCAGUUUCCAGGUAACAGUGCUGCCACCCAUGGCCAUCCUAGGAGAGAAGUCUCUGGAUGAGAGGAGGCCGCCAGCCAGUCACCCCAGGGUUCUCCUUCCCACCCGCUGCUCGCCACGGGUGGAAGGGCUUGGCCCUGGGA